RNAcentral lists this ribosomal RNA (17 nucleotides) under Arundinaria gigantea. Its description in RNAcentral is "partial 26S ribosomal RNA". Lineage: Eukaryota; Viridiplantae; Streptophyta; Magnoliopsida; Poales; Poaceae. The record is from RNAcentral. RNAcentral also lists the same sequence under 128 other names.
UCGGACCGCGACCCCAG